AUAUAUAUAUACAUACACUACUUAUAGCAGCUAUACUAUUUGAUGUUUUAUUAUUAUUAUUUUUAAGCAUUAACACAUGAUCCUAUUCUCCAACCAUUAAACACCACAGACACUGCAGCUGAAAGACUAAAAGUCAAAUCUGUUAGUCAUGUUCUCUAGAGCUGUGAUACUGAAAGUCUGACCUACAAGGUUGGACACGUUUGCUGACUUUUUUUUUUUUUUCUUGCUAUAAUUCUAUAUUAUUGUACAAUGCUUUUUUCUUUUCUUUUUUCUCCUCACACAAUACUGCUUUGUCUGUAGCAGCUGUGUAGCUUUUAGUCAUUAUGUUUAACCUUCAUCUAUCUUUGUACAUUUAGCUGCCAGUGUAAUAAUCAAUGUAACUGGUCAGCUGCUGCCAGUACCACGGCCACACAGGGGAAAACUCUGGGUUAACUUAAUGAGUUGAUUUGCUUUGUGACCACUUAGCCAAACAUCGGCAAUCAGUACAAGUUUAAUUUAGUUAAAUCCAAUUUUAUUUGUAUAGCACCAAUUCGCCUGAAUGUGGUUUAUAUUGUAGGCUAGAGUUGAGGAAGAAACUUUUAAAAGAAAGAACUCCAGCAGAACCAGGGUCGGGGAGGGGCAGCCGUCUGCUGUGACCAGUUGGGGGUGAGGGGAAAACACAUAGUGGGAGAGGCAAAAUUUUAUAAUUACAAAGGAUUAAAAGCAAUAGUCGUGUAUGACAACAAGGAAGGCGAAAAGACACGACUGGAAAAUACAUAGUCCUGGGAAGCCCCCAGCAAAUUGAGACUAGCAACGUGACUAAGGGAGGGUUAAGGGUCACUUAACUAGAAGGCCUAACUAUGAGAUGUUUUGAGCCUAAUCCUAAAAGUAGAGGGGGUGUCUGUCUCCCAAAUCCAAAUUAGGAGCUGGUUCCACAGGAGUGGUGCCUGAAAGCUGAAAGCUCGGCUCCCAUUCUACUUUUGGAAAUUUGAAAAUCACAAGUAAUCCUGCAGUCUGAAAGCAAAGUGCUCUGUUGGGAUAAUAUGGUGCUAUGAGGUCUUUAAGAUGCAAUGGGUCCUCACUUUUCAAGACCUUGAUUUUUAAAUUCAAUUCUAAACUUGACAGCUAGCCAAUAAAGAGAUGCUGAUAUGAAGAAAUGAGUGAAUGAAGAUUAUAGAAAGAUACCCUGGAGGUAUGCUGAACCCACUUCGUAGCACAGCACCUCAGCUGAUGACUUGGAGAUUGCAAAACAAGCUCCAAUUAUCAGCCCUCCACCAUCAAGCCUAACCAGUGUUUGUGCUGACAUGCUGUGCUUGGUUUUCCCCAUACAUGCAGCAUUGUUUAUUACAGCCAAACCGCUCCACUUUCUCUUUCCUGACAUGCAAAUUUGCAAACCUAAGCUGUGCUUCCAUGUUCUUUUUAAAGACAGACUUCUUUCUUCUUCUCAUUUUACCUUAAAGAGUAUAUUUCCUUUGUGCCCUAUGUUAAUUAUACUUCCACUGAUUCCUCGAUUGUUUUUACCUGUGGUAAUUAUAUUUAGCUGUCCCUCAUUCCCCAUCUGUGUCCUGUUAUGUAAUCAGGCUACUGUGUUUAUAUAAAUCGUCUUUUGUUGAAGGUUAAAUUGUCCUUCUGUGUGCUGCCCUCUUUUGUGCUCUGACCCCUGUGCUUGCCUGUCCUGGUUUUUUUUUUUUUCUUUUUUUUUCCUUUUUUUUUAAAAUGUUAAUUCUGGUGUUUGGAUUUGUUAUUCAAAGUCCAGUCUGCAGUGCGUUUGGGUCCUAUCCUUUUUGUCCCUUUGUGUAUUUGUGUUUUUUCUAUUGCCACUGCAGGUUAAAACCAGCUAUAAAAAAAAAAAAAAAUAUGAUUCACUGGUGGUCAGUGAGGUGUUGUCUUUCCAAAUUUCACCAUCUUUUAGUGCCAUUAAAUUCACUGACAGGUCUAAUUUCAGUGCUGGGAUUAAGUUGGGUCUCAGCUUGGAGUCCCUACUAUGAAGUUUAAAAUUGGAGUUUUUAUAUAGUUUAAGCUUCAUGGAAACAUGGACGCAGGAAUGAAGACCAUAUUAGCAACAUUAGAUGAAUUCCCCCACCACCACCAAUUAUUUAUUAGCACUGAGCAAAGUCUACCAUCAAGAGGUGCAUUACAUAGACUUCUCAUCUCUACUGAUCAAGCACAACUAGGACUAUGCUCGUGUGGUUUUUGUUUGUUUGUUUGUUUGUUUGUUUGUUUGUUUUUUCCAGCAGUCACAAUUUUGUGCAUCACAAUUUAACUGAGAAGUUAUCCCAGAAGGUCAGAUUUUUAAAACCAGGGACAAUGGAAGUGGUCCUGAGAUGAGCAAUGAGAGAAAUGUGGUGUUGUUAAAGGUGCUGCUGACAAAGUAAAAGAGGAAGACCACAGAGAAGAUCCAUGAAUCUAGUGAAGGAGGACAAGCAAAGUGUUGGUGCGAAAGAAGAGUAACAAAUAGGGUGAAAUCAAGGGGUCAGCUGUGGUGUCCUCUUUUAAAAGGAGCAGUAGGAAGCAAAAACAAAAACAUUGCUUUCAGUUCUACCAGAACUUAACCAGCCUAAAGCUCAGCCUGCGGAGAUCUGGAAAAUUAAUUUCUCUCUGAUGCCACGAACCACAUCUUUGUAAUUUCCUUCAAGCCACGUCGCUUGUAUUAGCUUUACAUUGUGUGAUUUGUGGUAUUUGUGCAGAUUCUGCUGAAAGAAUGGACUGAAAUUGCUCACAAUCUGCAUGUUAUGAGUUGUUCACAUGAUUCCUAUAAAAAUAAAAGCUUUCCUGUGA
This is a long non-coding RNA of Oreochromis niloticus (Nile tilapia), 2757 nucleotides long. RefSeq lists it as uncharacterized. The record is from RefSeq and is a predicted model, not a curated record. Lineage: Eukaryota; Metazoa; Chordata; Actinopteri; Cichliformes; Cichlidae. The transcript is spliced from 2 exons.